RNAcentral lists this ribosomal RNA (1440 nucleotides) under uncultured organism. RNAcentral's name for it is "SSU rRNA". It matches the Rfam family "Bacterial small subunit ribosomal RNA". The record is from RNAcentral.
GAUGAACGCUAGCUACAGGCUUAACACAUGCAAGUCGAGGGGCAUCAGGAAGAAAGCUUGCUUUCUUUGCUGGCGACCGGCGCACGGGUGAGUAACACGUAUCCAACCUGCCCUUUACUCGGGGAUAGCCUUUCGAAAGAAAGAUUAAUACCCGAUAGCAUAAUGAUUCCGCAUGGUUUCAUUAUUAAAGGAUUCCGGUAAAGGAUGGGGAUGCGUUCCAUUAGGUUGUUGGUGAGGUAACGGCCCACCAAGCCUUCGAUGGAUAGGGGUUCUGAGAGGAAGGUCCCCCACAUUGGAACUGAGACACGGUCCAAACUCCUACGGGAGGCAGCAGUGAGGAAUAUUGGUCAAUGGGCGCUAGCCUGAACCAGCCAAGUAGCGUGAAGGAUGAAGGCUCUAUGGGUCGUAAACUUCUUUUAUAUAAGAAUAAAGUGCAGUAUGUAUACUGUUUUGUAUGUAUUAUAUGAAUAAGGAUCGGCUAACUCCGUGCCAGCAGCCGCGGUAAUACGGAGGAUCCGAGCGUUAUCCGGAUUUAUUGGGUUUAAAGGGAGCGUAGGUGGACUGGUAAGUCAGUUGUGAAAGUUUGCGGCUCAACCGUAAAAUUGCAGUUGAUACUGUCAGUCUUGAGUACAGUAGAGGUGGGCGGAAUUCGUGGUGUAGCGGUGAAAUGCUUAGAUAUCACGAAGAACUCCGAUUGCGAAGGCAGCUCACUGGACUGCAACUGACACUGAUGCUCGAAAGUGUGGGUAUCAAACAGGAUUAGAUACCCUGGUAGUCCACACAGUAAACGAUGAAUACUCGCUGUUUGCGAUAUACAGUAAGCGGCCAAGCGAAAGCAUUAAGUAUUCCACCUGGGGAGUACGCCGGCAACGGUGAAACUCAAAGGAAUUGACGGGGGCCCGCACAAGCGGAGGAACAUGUGGUUUAAUUCGAUGAUACGCGAGGAACCUUACCCGGGCUUAAAUUGCAGUGGAAUGAUGUGGAAACAUGUCAGUGAGCAAUCACCGCUGUGAAGGUGCUGCAUGGUUGUCGUCAGCUCGUGCCGUGAGGUGUCGGCUUAAGUGCCAUAACGAGCGCAACCCUUAUCUUUAGUUACUAACAGGUUAUGCUGAGGACUCUAGAGAGACUGCCGUCGUAAGAUGUGAGGAAGGUGGGGAUGACGUCAAAUCAGCACGGCCCUUACGUCCGGGGCUACACACGUGUUACAAUGGGGGGUACAGAAGGCAGCUAGCGGGUGACCGUAUGCUAAUCCCAAAAUCCUCUCUCAGUUCGGAUCGAAGUCUGCAACCCGACUUCGUGAAGCUGGAUUCGCUAGUAAUCGCGCAUCAGCCACGGCGCGGUGAAUGCGUUCCCGGGCCUUGUACACACCGCCCGUCAAGCCAUGGGAGCCGGGGGUACCUGAAGUACGUAACCGCAAGGAUCGUCCUAGGGUAAAACUGA